GUAUCCAUCUCACUUCAGCAGCACAUAUACUAAAAUUGGAUGGAUACAGAGGAGAUUAGCAUGGCUCCUGCUCAAGGAUGACACACAAAUUCAUGAAGCAUUGCAUAUUUUU
Otolemur garnettii (small-eared galago) is the source of this 112-nucleotide non-coding RNA. The record is from Rfam. NCBI's taxonomy places the organism in Eukaryota, Metazoa, Chordata, Mammalia, Primates, Galagidae.